RNAcentral lists this ribosomal RNA (253 nucleotides) under uncultured bacterium. RNAcentral describes it as "partial 16S ribosomal RNA". It matches the Rfam family "Bacterial small subunit ribosomal RNA", at positions 524 to 776 of the family's 1533-position model. The record is from RNAcentral.
UACGAAGGGGGCUAGCGUUGCUCGGAAUUACUGGGCGUAAAGGGAGCGUAGGCGGGUUAUCAAGUUGGAGGUGAAAGCCCAGGGCUCAACCUUGGAAUUGCCUUCAAAACUGAUAGCCUAGGGUAUGGAAGAGGUAAGUGGAACUCCGAGUGUAGAGGUGAAAUUCGUAGAUAUUCGGAAGAACACCAGUGGCGAAGGCGACUUACUGGUCCAUGACUGACGCUGAGGCUCGAAAGCGUGGGGAGCAAACAGG